AGCGGGGAGGUGGCCGUCAUGGCGGCGGAGGAGGAAGCGGCUCCGCUGAGCGGUGUGGGCUGGGCGGCGGGGCCCGAGUCGGCUCCAGCGGGCUGGAGCGUGAUCACCACCAGCGUUGAGGGCAGCGCGGCCAACCUGGGCAAAGGCUUCGGACACAAGGGCGGGUACCUGUGUGUGAGCACCGCAGCUCCGGGCUCGGCCGGGCCUGUGGUGACCGAUGUCCAGGUGCUGAGCGAUCGAAAUCCGCAACCCGCGGGCUACAGCCGUGCCCCCGAGUUCCCAGAGCCUCGUUCGGGUGUGUCCCGUAAGAAGCGGCUCUAUGUGAGGCUGCAGCCCCGUGGGGCUGCUGAGACGGCCGUGUUUGACAUCAAACUGAGUGGGAAGAGCAGAGCUGUGCCUCAGUACAUGAAGAUCGGGGAAAUCGGUAGCUUUGCCAUCUGGUGUAAGAAAGGAGCCCUUCCCCAAUGCAGCCCUCCUCCUGUCCCCAAGCCCAGGACAGUCAGCCUGGGGCUGAAGCAGCUCUCGUUGGCCGACUCUGAACAGCAGGCACCAGGGAAGCCCGUGGCUCAGUCUGGCUCCAGGCAUGCAUCGUUCACACUGCACAACUCAGCUGAUGAUGGCUCCAGCAUCUACAACCUCUCAGCGAUGGAUGGAGUCCCUUUCACACUACACCCCAAAUUCGAGCGCAGUCCCAAAUCCGACAGCAGUGCCAUCCUCACUGACCUGACUGUCAAAUCGCUCGCUGACAUUGAGAAAGAGUACAACUACACUUUUGUAGUGGAACGGACGGCAGCCGCUCGCCUCCCUCCCUCCAUUUGCUGACACCACUCAGUGCUGUGAGGACGUGAAGCGCUGACCCACGCUCCCUCCCUAAUUAAGAUCCAAUUACAGGAAGUGCUGAGGGACGACAAUAAAGGCGUUUCUCUCAUCGCCUGCCAAAGUAUUUUCGUAAUGGUUUUGGGAUGUGCGGCUGCGAUGGAGGAGUUCCUGGUGCUGUUGCUUCUGUGAUUUGAAGUGUGGGGCAGAGAGGGGUGGAAGUGUGGGGCGGUAUGGGUGUGUUUAUGGCGGUGUUUCUUCUCCCGUGCUUUGACAACACCGCAGCUCUACUCUGAACAUCGGCUCCUGUCGGAUGUUAGUGUUUCUGGUGCCACCUUUCAGCCUAAUCUUCCCUUCAAUGUAUACUCCCCAUUAAAAACAUCACAAAGGAAGUCCCAGCCACAUUUCAAAAUACAUCGGGCUUGAUUUUUAGUUACCAAAUUCUGUAAACGUCUCCUGGAGUGGGGCAGUACAAAACUCCCACCGGGCGCUGCAUCCUGGGAACACCAAAAAGUCAUUUCACAGAGGUGAUUUCCACGUGAGAUGGGAGGAAACUCCCUGGAGCUCAAGAGUUGCUCUCAAAUCAUAGGGAUGAUUUCUGGGGUGCCCCCCGCAGGGCCCUGGCGCUGUGUUCACGAAGGCACUUUGAGUUUUGCUCUCCCCAGCAGGAACUGAAGGAUGCGGUCUGCCAACAAGGCAAGGAAGAAGUCUGCCAGCAGCACCUCCGUGAUGACGAUCUUGAACUGGGAAACAAACGCAACGAGAAAGAGCAGCAUGUGAUGGCUUUCUCCACUCUCCUCCUUUGAAAACGGCAGAGAUGUGGCACAUGGGAACGUGGGGCGAUGGCUGAUGAUCUUAAGAGGCCUUUUCUAAUUUAUUAUAACUUUCUUGUAACUAAUAACUUUUCUAACCUUAAUGGCUCUAGGAUGAGCUGCUCCUGUGCUGGAGGAAGGGACACUUACUUGGAACCACUGCGCACCUGGGCACCGUGGUACAGGUAAACGAGGCUGAGGAAAUGCACCAGGAACUGCAGCAGCACUGUCAGCACCGUGUAGAGGUUGAAGAUGUUCGGCAGCGGGCGCUCCUUGGACAGAGUCUUCAAAGGCUGGGAGCAAAAAGCAAGCGGGGUUGGCUACAGCGGUGCAGACCUCUCCAUGCAGUUUUCCACCACUCUGGGUUUGUUUGUUAAUUAAAACAGCUUCAUUUUGGA
Gallus gallus (chicken) is the source of this 2026-nucleotide RNA transcript. It is a transcript of the gene named multivesicular body subunit 12A, with no coding region annotated. The transcript is spliced from 10 exons. The record is from RefSeq and is marked validated. Lineage: Eukaryota; Metazoa; Chordata; Aves; Galliformes; Phasianidae.